Schizosaccharomyces pombe (fission yeast) is the source of this 270-nucleotide non-coding RNA. Lineage: Eukaryota; Fungi; Ascomycota; Schizosaccharomycetes; Schizosaccharomycetales; Schizosaccharomycetaceae. The record is from the annotation of a GenBank genome assembly.
UACUUUUUUAAAACUAGCAAUGAUAUUUAGCAGGGUCAUCAAGGCGGCAGAAAAACUUGACCUAGGGGGCCUUUCAGUCGAAGGACUUACAAGAGCCGGCUCAGGAUAUGGCCUUGCAAGUGAAAACGAAGUUGAGAGAAUUGUAGGAGACCCAAGUUUAUCGGAAUAGCUAGAAUGAUUCGAGCCCAACAAAGACGUUUUUCUAGUAUUACCAGAAGAAGUCGAAAACUGUUGUAAUAAACUUCUAAUUUCUGGUACCAAAUCGAAAAC